AUUGAACGCUGGCGGCAUGCUUUACACAUGCAAGUCGGACGGCAGCACAGAGAAGCUUGCUUCUUGGGUGGCGAGUGGCGAACGGGUGAGUAACAUAUCGGAACGUACCGAGUAGUGGGGGAUAACUGAUCGAAAGAUCAGCUAAUACCGCAUACGUCUUGAGAGGGAAAGCAGGGGACCUUCGGGCCUUGCGCUAUUCGAGCGGCCGAUAUCUGAUUAGCUAGUUGGUGGGGUAAAGGCCUACCAAGGCGACGAUCAGUAGCGGGUCUGAGAGGAUGAUCCGCCACACUGGGACUGAGACACGGCCCAGACUCCUACGGGAGGCAGCAGUGGGGAAUUUUGGACAAUGGGCGCAAGCCUGAUCCAGCCAUGCCGCGUGUCUGAAGAAGGCCUUCGGGUUGUAAAGGACUUUUGUUAGGGAAGAAAAGGCUGUUGCUAAUAUCAGCGGCUGAUGACGGUACCUGAAGAAUAAGCACCGGCUAACUACGUGCCAGCAGCCGCGGUAAUACGUAGGGUGCGAGCGUUAAUCGGAAUUACUGGGCGUAAAGCGAGCGCAGACGGUUACUUAAGCAGGAUGUGAAAUCCCCGGGCUCAACCUGGGAACUGCGUUCUGAACUGGGUGACUAGAGUGUGUCAGAGGGAGGUAGAAUUCCACGUGUAGCAGUGAAAUGCGUAGAGAUGUGGAGGAAUACCGAUGGCGAAGGCAGCCUCCUGGGAUAACACUGACGUUCAUGCUCGAAAGCGUGGGUAGCAAACAGG
This 759-nucleotide ribosomal RNA is filed under the name Neisseria cinerea. Its description in RNAcentral is "bacterial SSU rRNA". It matches the Rfam family "Bacterial small subunit ribosomal RNA", at positions 28 to 776 of the family's 1533-position model. Lineage: Bacteria; Pseudomonadati; Pseudomonadota; Betaproteobacteria; Neisseriales; Neisseriaceae. The record is from RNAcentral.